Molecule: ribosomal RNA, 428 nt
Filed under: uncultured bacterium
Lineage: Bacteria
Description: bacterial SSU rRNA
Rfam family: Bacterial small subunit ribosomal RNA
Source: RNAcentral
UCGGGAAUCUUCCGCAAUGGGCGAAAGCCUGACGGAGCGACGCCGCGUGAGCGAUGAAGGCCUUCGGGUUGUAAAGCUCUGUGGGGAGAGAAGAAUAAGUUCAGGCAAAUACCCUGAAUGAUGACGGUAUCUCCUUAGCAAGCACCGGCUAACUCUGUGCCAGCAGCCGCGGUAAGACAGAGGGUGCAAACGUUGUUCGGAUUUACUGGGCGUAAAGCGUGUGUAGGCGGCUUGGCAAGUUGGAUGUGAAAGCCCACGGCUCAACCGUGGAAGCGCAUCCAAAACUGCUUCGCUCGAGUCUCGGAGAGGAAGGUGGAAUGCUUGGUGUAGAGGUGAAAUUCGUAGAUAUCAAGCAGAACACCUGCGGCGAAGGCGGCCUUCUGGACGAUGACUGACGCUGAGACACGAAAGCGUGGGGAGCAAACAGG